This 254-nucleotide ribosomal RNA is filed under the name uncultured bacterium. RNAcentral describes it as "partial 16S ribosomal RNA". It matches the Rfam family "Bacterial small subunit ribosomal RNA", at positions 524 to 776 of the family's 1533-position model. The record is from RNAcentral.
UACGGGGGGAGCAAGCGUUGUUCGGAUUUACUGGGCGUAAAGGGCGCGUAGGCGGUCAGCACAAGUCAAUUGUGAAAUCUCCGAGCUUAACUCGGAAAGGUCAACUGAAACUGUGCGACUAGAGUGCGGAAGGGGCAACUGGAAUUCUUGGUGUAGCGGUGAAAUGCGUAGAUAUCGAGAGGAACACCUGCGGCGAAGGCGGGUUGCUGGGCUGACACUGACGCUGAUGCGCGAAAGCGUGGGGAGCAAACAGG